CAGUCACCGCGGUGGGGAGGACAGCCAAUCUGGAUCACAGCACUCAAACAGGGAGUGAAGGCUGCCACCUUCUUUUGGCCUGUUGCUAUCCCAUUGAGAGAACGCAUCUGACCAUG
Molecule: long non-coding RNA, 116 nt
Organism: Etheostoma spectabile (orangethroat darter)
Lineage: Eukaryota; Metazoa; Chordata; Actinopteri; Perciformes; Percidae
Exons: 3
Source: RefSeq, a predicted model, not a curated record